CCUACGGGUGGCAGCAGUAGGGAAUAUUGCUCAAUGGGGGAAACCCUGAAGCAGCAACGCCGCGUGGAGGAUGAAGGUUUUCGGAUUGUAAACUCCUGUUGUUAGAGAAGACAAUGACGGUAGCUAACGAAUAAGCACCGGCCAACUCCGUCCCAGCAGCCGCGGUAAUACGGAGGGGGCAAGCGUUAUUCGGAAUCACUGGGCGUAAGGAGCGCGUAGGCGGGAUAGCAAGUCAGAUGUGAAAUCCUAUGGCUUAACCAUAGAACUGCAUUUGAAACUGUUAUUCUAGAGUAUGGGAGAGGUAGGUGGAAUUCUUGGUGUAGGGGUCAAAUCCGUAGAUAUCACGAGGAAUACUCAUUGCGAAGGCGACCUGCUAGAGCAUAACUGACGCUGAUGCGCGAAAGCGUGGGGAGCAAACAGGAUUAGAUACCCGAGUAGUC
Molecule: ribosomal RNA, 440 nt
Filed under: uncultured bacterium
Lineage: Bacteria
Description: partial 16S ribosomal RNA
Rfam family: Bacterial small subunit ribosomal RNA
Source: RNAcentral